Molecule: long non-coding RNA, 622 nt
Organism: Dreissena polymorpha
Lineage: Eukaryota; Metazoa; Mollusca; Bivalvia; Myida; Dreissenidae
Exons: 3
Source: RefSeq, a predicted model, not a curated record
GUACGAAUAGCGUCGGUAUCCAAUGUAAACAAAGUGCAGACGACGCGUUUUCCAAUAGUCGGAUAUACCCGAUAUCUUGAAGGAUGGUGAAAGCCUACAAAUGCAUUUGCUGUAAUAAGCGUGCAAAACCAAAAGAUCGUCGUCCAUUGACUGACACUGUUAAAAACUAUCUGCGAAGGGUCUUGCCUGCUGUAGAUCCAACAGACAGUGAUGUCAUUUGUUUUCAAUGUCGUGUCAAAAGCUACAAGAAUGCCCCAAAGCCUAGGCAAUGUUCAGACAACAUCAGCAAUGAUCCUGACUACCAACCCCAACCAUCUACAUCCAGACAGCCAUUUAGCCCAUUAUCAAUCACCCUGCAAAUUCCAUCAACCAUAAGAAGCCAUUCCAGAUGUUUUAUAUGUAAGCGCCCAGGUCCAAAACUGAUCUCAUUGCCAGCAGACGGUCGUUUAUCCGCCUUUAUAGAUCACAACAUUAUUAUUUCCGCGGAUUCCAGAUGUUGUCCAUCUCACGUCUAUGAAGGGACAUUGACCGAGACAGCUUUAAAGGAUAUGAAGACUAUUACAGAGACAUCUCAAAUGAAUAGAACAGGCGUCAAUGACUUGUUACAAAAAAUUAGAAAGCU